CUCAGGCAGUAGUGACCCUGGAUAAUGGAUGGCUGGGGAUCUACAUCACUGAAGGCAGUCUAACAAUGAGGUGUGAGCUUCAGGGAACCUCAGCCAACUGGAACUACAUAUGGUACAGAGACGGAGCACAGAUCUCACUAAACCAGACUGGGGAGAGGCACACAGUGGGAUUUUGGAAUGGCUCCUAUGAUGGUGAAUACAAAUGUCAAGGAAAAAGGACGGACAGAGCGUACUACUCUCUCAUCAGUGCAGGCUUCAUGACAACUAAUAUUCGGCUGUACUUUAUUGUGGGUGUUUCUGGUUCAGUCAUCAUUUUCAUAAGCCUGGUGGUGCUGGCAGUCAAAUGCUUUAAGAAAUACAGGAAAUCAGAAGUUCAAAUCAAAAAUCAGCUUGAUGGGGAGAAGUUUUACUCCAGGUUAAAUGGAUGUUACAUAAAUGCAGGUGAGAAUAGAUUGUUCUGUUCCUGUUACACUGCGGGCCAAGUGUUUGUUGAAUUAUUUUUUUCCUCUCUUCUCCAGAUCAUGGAUUACCAACUGCUGUGUAUGAGGAAAUACCCCUUACUACAGAAAUUGAAGGUUCUGAAGCAGUCAUCGGCCAGCAUGGUUUCUACUCAGCUGUUCCGUUAACACCAUUAAACCAAGGUCCUGUUCUAUAAGUGGACACGGGAAUCCAUAUUCACUCAGUCUUACCUUCAUAUGUGAGGGAAUAUACUAUAUCAUACUAUAUGUAUAUCCCACUAUGUCAUACUAUAUUUUUAGAUAGCUUAUAUAAUUUAAGGUCACCAUGUUGCCCAUUAAAUAAUGAUAUGCUGUUGCAUCACUCUAUUCAUUUCCUAUUCUGAAGCAGUCUCCAGAACUGACUUGAUGAUAAUGUAUUAAAUAAUUAAAGGUACAAAAGGUCGCUCCCACUGUA
Long non-coding RNA from Conger conger (European conger), 912 nucleotides. RefSeq lists it as uncharacterized. NCBI's taxonomy places the organism in Eukaryota, Metazoa, Chordata, Actinopteri, Anguilliformes, Congridae. The record is from RefSeq and is a predicted model, not a curated record. The transcript has 5 exons.